UCACUAUGGCAAGAAAUACUGCUUGUUUGACCAAGUAGUUGGCCACCUAAGCAUUCUGACUUCAGGCACUGACCAAACCUCUCCAAAGAUUACCAAGAGUGCUGUGGUAUUCACUUGCUUCAAUUUGUAUUCAGAACAUACAAAGUUGACAACUUAAAGCUUUAUUGUCGGUUGCAGUAAUAUAAACAAGUACUGACAUUUAGUCAAUGUCCAUCUCAGGAAGCUUCUUCUCCGCAGCUGCUGGGGCAGGUGCAGUGCUGGGGUCAGCAGUCUGGGACCCACUGCUGCCAUCUCCCUGCCCUUCUACUGGUCCAUUCGGUUCGGUUGGUUUCUGCUCCUCCUUUGGGAGUUCAACUUUGGGUUUUGGUUUUGUAACUAUAGGAUUGCAAAUACUUGUCAAUUCUUUAGUUUUAGCUUGUAUGUCUUUAGCUUUUAUAACUGGGUCCAAAGUAAGACUUCUCUUGUUCUGAAGAUUGAGUUUGUUAUUCAUCCAUUCCAUUGCUUCAUUUGCACUUUUCUCCACUUUUGCUACAUCUGCUUCAUCCAGAUGGUCAUACUGCUCAUCCUUUGCUUUGAAGGCAUGAACAGUUUUCAUGUACUGUUGGAUUUGCUUCCCUAAGUCCUCAAAUGCUUUUGGCCUUUCCUCUGAUUCUUGAAAUCUCGCCUGAAUAGGUUGACCCAAGGCCUUCAGCUCUGUUAAUUUGUCAAUGUAAAUUUGCUUGGGUUGGUCUUCGCCAUCUUCAUAAAGCCAAUUUUCGGUAUCUUCCAGCUUCAGCGUGAAGCUAUUUCGAUCAUCUUCACUAACAAAUUUCUCAUAAAUACUGCAGAGUUUGUCUCUCAUAUCAUACACGUAUUCUUCUACUGCAUUCUUUGCAUCAUUCCUCUCCUUCUCUAGCUUAUCCUGCAUUAUCAUUUUACCCUCAUUCUCAAUGAAUAAGUUCAGCAUAUCUUUUCCUAUUUGCCACACCAACUGGUUCUCAAUGGGAAGGUCCACUGUAGUAGUCUUUACUUUAGCCUUCUUGGCUUGAGGUGGCUGAUCCACUUUCUUGUCUUUAGAGUCACCUUGAGAAGUCUCCAUUUCUUCAGACUCUGCCUUAUUUUCAGCUUGGGCCUGCUGCUGUUCUUCAGUCUUCUGCUGCUCCUCCUGGUCUACUUGCAUCUUCUCUUCCUCUUUUGCAUGCUGAUCUGUUUCCAUAGGCUCUUCAUUCUC
This 1210-nucleotide long non-coding RNA is filed under the name Gallus gallus (chicken). Lineage: Eukaryota; Metazoa; Chordata; Aves; Galliformes; Phasianidae. The record is from RNAcentral.